This 468-nucleotide ribosomal RNA is filed under the name uncultured bacterium. RNAcentral's name for it is "partial 16S ribosomal RNA". It matches the Rfam family "Bacterial small subunit ribosomal RNA", at positions 28 to 507 of the family's 1533-position model. The record is from RNAcentral.
GACGAACGCUCGCGGCGUGCUUAACACAUGCAAGUCGAACGGAAAGGCCCUGCUUUUGUGGGGUGCUCGAGUGGCGAACGGGUGAGUAACACGUGAGUAACCUGCCCUUGACUUUGGGAUAACUUCAGGAAACUGGGGCUAAUACCGGAUAGGAGCUCCUGCUGCAUGGUGGGGGUUGGAAAGUUUCGGCGGUUGGGGAUGGACUUGCGGCUUAUCAGCUUGUUGGUGGGGUAGUGGCUUACCAAGGCUUUGACGGGUAGCCGGCCUGAGAGGGUGACCGGCCACAUUGGGACUGAGAUACGGCCCAGACUCCUACGGGAGGCAGCAGUGGGGAAUAUUGCACAAUGGGCGGAAGCCUGAUGCAGCAACGCCGCGUGCGGGAUGACGGCCUUCGGGUUGUAAACCGCUUUCGCCUGUGACGAAGCGUGAGUGACGGUAAUGGGUAAAGAAGCACCGGCUAACUACGUG